This 492-nucleotide ribosomal RNA is filed under the name uncultured bacterium. Its description in RNAcentral is "partial 16S ribosomal RNA". It matches the Rfam family "Bacterial small subunit ribosomal RNA", at positions 29 to 507 of the family's 1533-position model. The record is from RNAcentral.
AGUGAACGCUGGCGGUAGGCCUAACACAUGCAAGUCGAACGGCAGCACAGUAAGAGCUUGCUCUUACGGGUGGCGAGUGGCGGACGGGUGAGGAAUACAUCGGAAUCUACUUUUUCGUGGGGGAUAACGUAGGGAAACUUACGCUAAUACCGCAUACGACCUACGGGUGAAAGCAGGGGAUCUUCGGACCUUGCGCGAUUGAAUGAGCCGAUGUCGGAUUAGCUAGUUGGCGGGGUAAAGGCCCACCAAGGCGGCGAUCCGUAGCUGGUCUGAGAGGAUGAUAAGCCACACUGGAACUGAGACAGGGUCCAGACUCCUACGGGAGGCAGCAGUGGGGAAUAUUGGACAAUGGGCGCAAGCCUGAUCCAGCCAUACCGCGUGGGUGAAGAAGGCCUUCGGGUUGUAAAGCCCUUUUGUUGGGAAAGAAAAGCAGCAGGUUAAUACCCCGCUGUUCUGACGGUACCCAAAGAAUAAGCACCGGCUAACUUCGUG